GGGUGACCGGUCACACUGGGACUGAGACACGGCCCAGACUCCUACGGGAGGCAGCAGUGGGGAAUAUUGCACAAUGGGCGCAAGCCUGAUGCAGCAACGCCGCGUGAGGGAUGACGGCCUUCGGGUUGUAAACCUCUUUUAGCAGGGAAGAAGCGAAAGUGACGGUACCUGCAGAAGAAGCUCCGGCCAACUACGUGCCAGCAGCCGCGGUAAUACGUAGGGAGCGAGCGUUGUCCGGAAUUAUUGGGCGUAAAGAGCUCGUAGGCGGUUCAGUAAGUCGGGUGUGAAAACUCAAGGCUCAACCUUGAGACGCCACUCGAUACUGCUGUGACUUGAGUCCGGUAGAGGAGUGUGGAAUUCCUGGUGUAGCGGUGAAAUGCGCAGAUAUCAGGAGGAACACCAGCGGCGAAGGCGGCACUCUGGGCCGGUACUGACGCUGAGGAGCGAAAGCAUGGGGAGCAAACAGGAUUAGAUACCCUGGUAGUCCAUGCCGUAAACGUUGGGCACUAGGUAUGGGAUCAUAUCAACGGGUUCCGUGCCGUAGCUAACGCAUUAAGUGCCCCGCCUGGGGAGUACGG
Molecule: ribosomal RNA, 578 nt
Filed under: uncultured Actinomycetes bacterium
Lineage: Bacteria; Bacillati; Actinomycetota; Actinomycetes
Description: bacterial SSU rRNA
Rfam family: Bacterial small subunit ribosomal RNA
Source: RNAcentral